Molecule: ribosomal RNA, 1176 nt
Filed under: human gut metagenome
Description: bacterial LSU rRNA
Rfam family: Bacterial large subunit ribosomal RNA
Source: RNAcentral
GCGUUCCAUUUGCGGAGAAGCCAUAUCGUAAGGAGUGGUGGAGCGGAUGGAAGUGAGUAUGCCGGUGUAAGUAACGAAUGAGGGUGAGAAUCCCUCACACCGAUUGACUAAGGUUUCCAGGGCAAGGGUCGUCCUCCCUGGGUUAGUCAGGACCUAAGGCGAGGCCGAAAGGCGUAGUCGAUGGACAGCAGGUUGAUAUUCCUGCACUCGUAUAUGUGCGAUGUAAUGACAGAGAAGGUUAAGUUGGCCGGUUAAUGGAUUCCGGUCUAAGCGAGGUAGCUGAACUGCAGGCAAAUCCGUAGUUCAUAAGGCGAAGACGUGAUGGGGAGCGAAUGGAGCAAUCCUAGUAGCGAAGCAACUGAUACCAGCUCUCGAGAAAAGUUGCUAGCUUAAGCAUAUACGACCUGUACCGAGAACGGACACACGUGGUCAAGGAGAGUAUCCUAAGGUGAGCGAGAUAACUGUUGUUAAGGAACUCUGCAAAAUUACUUCGUAAGUUAGCAAGAAGAAGUGCUCUAGAAAUAGAGUCGCAGUGAAGAGGCCCAGGUAACUGUUUAACAAAAACACAGCUCUAUGCUAAGUCGCAAGACGAUGUAUAUGGGGUGACGCCUGCCCAGUGCUGGAAGGUUAAAAGGUGAGGUUAGCGCAAGCGAAGCUUUGAAUUGAAGCCCCAGUAAACGGCGGCCGUAACUAUAACGGUCCUAAGGUAGCGAAAUUCCUUGUCAGGUAAGUUCUGACGCGCACGAAUGGUGUAAUAAUCUGGGCGCUGUCUCGACAGCAGACUCGGUGAAAUCUUAAUACCUGUAAAGAUGCAGGUUACCCGCGACUAGACGGAAAGACCCCAUGGAGCUUUACUAUAGCUUAAUAUUGAGUAAUUGUAGUUCAUGUACAGGAUAGGUGGGAGACGAUGAAGUAGUGGCGUCAGCUGCUAUGGAGUCAACCUUGGGAUACCACUCUUGAAUUAUGAUUAUUCUAACUCACGCCCUACACGGGGUGGAGGACAGUGUUAGGUGGGUAGUUUGACUGGGGCGGUCGCCUCCUAAAGAGUAACGGAGGCGCCCAAAGGUACCCUCAGUAUGGUUGGAAAUCAUAUUUCGAGUGCAAAGGCAUAAGGGUGCUUGACUGCGAGACUUACAAGUCGAGCAGGGACGAAAGUCGGGCUUAGUGAUCCGGCGG